CUGUGCCCCAUCAUUACCUCAUGGGUCAAUAACCUGACUCCACGGGUUGCUGGUGAAAUAAUAAAUACAUUGCUGUCUUUUGAUAAUUUCGAAAUCACCGCAUAAAUAUCUUCAAAGUGAAGGAGCUACAUUUGCACCAAUCUGAACCGAGUCCUACUGGCUGGCUGGUCUCCUUGCUGAAUGCUCGCCACACCUUUAGAGUGUACACGUUUAUUACUCAGCUGCUUUCUCAAAUUUCAUGAUCC
Long non-coding RNA from Sorex araneus (European shrew), 245 nucleotides. RefSeq lists it as uncharacterized. Lineage: Eukaryota; Metazoa; Chordata; Mammalia; Eulipotyphla; Soricidae. The transcript is spliced from 3 exons. The record is from RefSeq and is a predicted model, not a curated record.